GUAUUGAUUGCAUGUGAUCGCAAAAAGUAAGACGUUCUACACAUGCAUUCAAAGGGUGUCUAUGUAAAAACGCAGGUCCCCCUCGGAACAAGCCAAAAGGGGACCCACGCGGCAAUGCACAAAGGGGUGAGAUGGAUAUGAGAGAGUGCUCCGGGCGUGCACGACCUUUUUCAAAGGUCAGCGACAGCCCCAGCACCUCCAUUUUAUACGAUAAUGAUCCUUCCGCAGGUUCACCUACGGAAA
Molecule: unclassified non-coding RNA, 243 nt
Filed under: uncultured fungus
Lineage: Eukaryota; Fungi
Description: sequence contains ITS1
Source: RNAcentral